AAAGUGUGAAGCUGUUAUAAUUUUUGUUUUGGAAACGGUUUUAUAAAAAUUACAUUUCUAGUUUUUGACUACCGACAUUCAUUUGAACAUGGAGAAUCAUCUCCUUGGAACAAAUUUUGCGUGAUCAUAACUUUUGCAAGCUCCAAUGUAUGCGUUGAAUGAACAGCGACUCCACUCAACUAAUUACCUAGUGACAACUUAUGUGUAUAGUGCUAUAUAAUAGUCAGCGGAAAAUGCUACCUACAUCCGAAGAAACCAAAGCCCUUUUGGGCUAUAAUCCUGACUUAUCCGCACAGGAACUGGAAGAUGCAGAACGGCAGGCAAUGGAUACUUCAAAAACUAUAUACGAUUUGAAAACAGAAAUUGCAUUACUAUUGAAGCCCGCAGAAAGAAAAAAUGACCGAAUUAGAAACCAAACAAUUAGAGGAGAAGAACAAACAAUUAAGCGACCAGUUGAGCAUAUUUGACGCAAAAACCGACAAAAUUCGCUUUCUUAUCGACCAGGCCAGUCGAUUUCAGGAUUUGAUAUCGCCGAGACCUCGAGAAAACUUUAACGAAGACAUGCUACCGAAAGUGAUUGUAUGUGGAAUAGCCGAAAAUAAUAUUCCAAGAAUCAUCGUUUGUGACGACAAGAGAAGAUCUAGAAAUUACGCCAGUACAUCCAGCUUUCCCGUGCCACAAACUAGAGUACUACCGCAGCUGGCUAAGAAACUCAGCGAAAGUUAUGCCAUACAAAAACGGCUAGCUGAGGAAGAUGCGGAUUUAAAAAAUAAAAAGCUCAAUUGAUUUUUGCAAUAAGGGUGACACAAGUGUAAAAGUGGAUAAUUUUGAUUAACGCACACAAAAGGCAGCUGGCGAUUAAAAUUUGAAAGUGAUGUUAUUACUCUAUGCAUACUUUAAUUUUGUAGAUAAUGGCAACUGGUAUUGACGCAAGUAAUGCCAGUUUCAUGUAGCAUCACUGAUUUUGAUCGCCAGUGUGUUCCGUUUGGUAUUUUAUGUAAAAAAUGGCCCAUUUUUAUCACGUAUAUUAAAACCGU
This is an RNA transcript of Photinus pyralis (common eastern firefly), 1037 nucleotides long. RefSeq lists it as uncharacterized. Lineage: Eukaryota; Metazoa; Arthropoda; Insecta; Coleoptera; Lampyridae. The record is from RefSeq and is a predicted model, not a curated record. The transcript is spliced from 4 exons.